This 30-nucleotide non-coding RNA is filed under the name Mus musculus (house mouse). The record is from RNAcentral. Lineage: Eukaryota; Metazoa; Chordata; Mammalia; Rodentia; Muridae.
UCAUGGACCUUCAUACACACUCCACUCUGA